This 253-nucleotide ribosomal RNA is filed under the name uncultured bacterium. Its description in RNAcentral is "partial 16S ribosomal RNA". It matches the Rfam family "Bacterial small subunit ribosomal RNA", at positions 524 to 776 of the family's 1533-position model. The record is from RNAcentral.
CACGUAGGGCGCAAGCGUUGUCCGGAAUUACUGGGCGUAAAGCGCACGUAGGCGGCUUUGUAAGUUAGAGGUGAAAGCCCGGGGCUCAACUCCGGAAUUGCCUUUAAGACUGCAUCGCUAGAACGUCGGAGAGGUAAGUGGAAUUCCGAGUGUAGAGGUGAAAUUCGUAGAUAUUCGGAAGAACACCAGUGGCGAAGGCGACUUACUGGACGACUGUUGACGCUGAGGUGCGAAAGCGUGGGGAGCAAACAGG